UACGUAGGGGGCAAGCGUUGUCCGGAAUCAUUGGGCGUAAAGCGCGUGUAGGCGGCUCGGUAAGUCCGCUCUGAAAGCCCCCGGCUCAACCGGGGAGGGUCAUUGGAAACUGGGGAACUUGAGUGCAGAAGAGAAGAGCGGAAUUCCACGUGUAGCGGUGAAAUGCGUAGAGAUGUGGAGGAACACCAGUGGCGAAGGCGGCUCUUUGGUCUGUAACUGACGCUGAGGCGCGAAAGCGUGGGGAGCAAACAGG
This 253-nucleotide ribosomal RNA is filed under the name uncultured bacterium. Its description in RNAcentral is "partial 16S ribosomal RNA". It matches the Rfam family "Bacterial small subunit ribosomal RNA", at positions 524 to 776 of the family's 1533-position model. The record is from RNAcentral.